Long non-coding RNA from Pan troglodytes (chimpanzee), 188 nucleotides. RefSeq lists it as uncharacterized. The transcript has 2 exons. The record is from RefSeq and is a predicted model, not a curated record. NCBI's taxonomy places the organism in Eukaryota, Metazoa, Chordata, Mammalia, Primates, Hominidae.
AACAAAUUCACAGACGCGCAGGUGGGCAUGAAAACACGGAAAUUCACAGACACGCAGGUGGGCAUGAAAACACAGAAAUUCACAGACGCACAGGUGGGCAUGAAAACACGGAAAUUCACAGACACUCGCAGGUGGGCAUGAAAACACGGAAAUUCACAGACGCACAGGUGGGUAUGAAAACACGGAAA